UACAGAGGUCCCAAGCGUUCGUUCGGAUUCACUGGGCGUAAAGGGUGCGUAGGUGGCCAGGUAAGUUGUGGUGAAGAGCUCGGAGCUUAACUCCGAAAUGGCAUUGAAUACUAUCUGGCUGGAGGGUCGGAGGGGAGACUGGAAUUCGUCGGUGUAGCAGUGAAAUGCGUAGAUAUCGAGAGGAACACCAGUGGCGAAGGCGAGUCUCUGGACGACACCUGACACUGAGGCACGAAAAGCUAGGGGAGCAAACAGG
RNAcentral lists this ribosomal RNA (256 nucleotides) under uncultured bacterium. RNAcentral describes it as "partial 16S ribosomal RNA". It matches the Rfam family "Bacterial small subunit ribosomal RNA", at positions 524 to 776 of the family's 1533-position model. The record is from RNAcentral.